Molecule: ribosomal RNA, 440 nt
Filed under: uncultured bacterium
Lineage: Bacteria
Description: partial 16S ribosomal RNA
Rfam family: Bacterial small subunit ribosomal RNA
Source: RNAcentral
CCUACGGGUGGCAGCAGUGGGGAAUAUUGCACAAUGGGGGAAACUCUGAUGCAGCGACGCCGCGUGAGCGAUGAAGUAUUUCGGUAUUUAAAGCUCUAUCAGCAGGGAAGAAAAUGACGGUACCUGACUCAGAAGCCCCGGCUAACUACGUGCCAGCAGCCGCGGUAAUACGUAGGGAGCAAGCGUUAUCCGGAUUUACUGGGUGUAAAGUGCGCGUAGACGGCGGUGCAAGCCAGAUGUGAAAGCCCGGGGCUCAACCCCGGGACUGCAUUUGGAACUGGGCUGCUAGAGUGUCGGAGAGGCAGGCGGAAUUCCUAGUGUAGCGGUGAAAUGCGUAGAUAUUAGGAGGAACACCAGUGGCGAAGGCGGCCUGCUGGACGAUGACUGACGUUGAGGCUCGAAAGCGUGGGGAGCAAACAGGAUUAGAUACCCGGGUAGUC